CCCUUAGAUGUUCUGGGCCGCACGCGCGCUACACUGACGAAGUCAGCGAGCAUGUCCUACGCCGACAGGUGCGGGGAAUCUUGUCAAACUUCGUCGUGAUGGGGAUUGAUUAUUGAAAUUCUUGAUCAUCAACGAGGAAUUCCUAGUAAGCGCAAGUCAGCAGCUUGCGUUGAUUACGUCCCGGCCCUUUGUACACACCGCCCGUCGCUACUACCGAUUGAAUGGUUUAGUGAGAUCUUCGGAUUGGCGCCACUGCGGCUCAGCAAUGGGCUCGGUGGAUGCCGAAAAGUUGAUCAAACUUGAUCAUUUAGAGGAAGUAAAAGUCGUAACA
Molecule: ribosomal RNA, 331 nt
Filed under: uncultured eukaryote
Lineage: Eukaryota
Description: partial 18S ribosomal RNA
Rfam family: Eukaryotic small subunit ribosomal RNA
Source: RNAcentral